UACGUAGGGUGCGAGCGUUAAUCGGAAUUACUGGGCGUAAAGCGUGCGCAGGCGGUUCGUGAUGUCUGGUGUGAAAGCCCCGGGCUUAACCUGGGAACUGCAUUGGAAACUAGCGGGCUGGAGUGUGGCAGAGGGGGGUGGAAUUCCACGUGUAGCAGUGAAAUGCGUAGAGAUGUGGAGGAACACCGAUGGCGAAGGCAGCCCCCUGGGCUAACACUGACGCUCAUGCACGAAAGCGUGGGGAGCAAACAGG
RNAcentral lists this ribosomal RNA (253 nucleotides) under uncultured bacterium. RNAcentral describes it as "partial 16S ribosomal RNA". It matches the Rfam family "Bacterial small subunit ribosomal RNA", at positions 524 to 776 of the family's 1533-position model. The record is from RNAcentral.